This 706-nucleotide ribosomal RNA is filed under the name Mycosphaerellaceae sp. L1778. Its description in RNAcentral is "SSU rRNA". It matches the Rfam family "Eukaryotic small subunit ribosomal RNA", at positions 150 to 865 of the family's 1831-position model. Lineage: Eukaryota; Fungi; Ascomycota; Dothideomycetes; Mycosphaerellales; Mycosphaerellaceae. The record is from RNAcentral.
UGGUAAUUCUAGAGCUAAUACAUGCUAAAAACCUCGACUUCGGAAGGGGUGUAUUUAUUAGAUAAAAAACCAAUGCCCUUCGGGGCUCCUUGGUGAAUCAUAAUAACUUAACGAAUCGCAUGGCCUUGCGCCGGCGAUGGUUCAUUCAAAUUUCUGCCCUAUCAACUUUCGAUGGUAAGAUAGAGGCUUACCAUGGUCUUAACGGGUAACGGGGAAUUAGGGUUCUAUUCCGGAGAGGGAGCCUGAGAAACGGCUACCACAUCCAAGGAAGGCAGCAGGCGCGCAAAUUACCCAAUCCCGACACGGGGAGGUAGUGACAAUAAAUACUGAUACGGGGCUCUUUUGGGUCUCGUAAUUGGAAUGAGUACAAUCUAAAUCCCUUAACGAGGAACAAUUGGAGGGCAAGUCUGGUGCCAGCAGCCGCGGUAAUUCCAGCUCCAAUAGCGUAUAUUAAAGUUGUUGCCGUUAAAAAGCUCGUAGUUGAACCUUGGGCCUGGCUGACCUGUCCUCCUAAUCGAGCGCACGGGUUCGGUCGGGCCUUUCCUUCUAGGGAACCCCAUGCCCUUCACUGGGUGUGGUGGGGAACUAGGACUUUUACCUUGAAAAAAUUAGAGUGUUCAAAGCAGGCCUUUGCUCGAAUACAUUAGCAUGGAAUAAUAGAAUAGGACAUCGGUUCUAUUUUGUUGGGUUUCUAGGACCGCCGUAA